This 301-nucleotide ribosomal RNA is filed under the name uncultured bacterium. Its description in RNAcentral is "partial 16S ribosomal RNA". It matches the Rfam family "Bacterial small subunit ribosomal RNA", at positions 509 to 809 of the family's 1533-position model. The record is from RNAcentral.
CAGUAGCCGCGGGAAAACGGAGGGGGCUAGCGUUGUUCGGAAUUACUGGGCGUAAAGCGCACGUAGGCGGCUUGGUAAGUUAGAGGUGAAAGCCUGGAGCUCAACUCCAGAAUUGCCUUUAUGACUGCCGAGCUAGCAGGUGAGAGAGGUAAGUGGAAUUCCGAGUGUAGAGGUGAAAUUCGUAGAUAUUCGGAAGAACACCAGUGGCGAAGGCGGCCCCCUGGACAAAGACUGACGCUCAGGUGCGAAAGCGUGGGGAGCAAACAGGAUUAGAUACCCCGGUAGUCCCUGUCUCUUAUAA